Molecule: ribosomal RNA, 539 nt
Filed under: Botryosphaeria dothidea
Lineage: Eukaryota; Fungi; Ascomycota; Dothideomycetes; Botryosphaeriales; Botryosphaeriaceae
Description: eukaryotic LSU rRNA
Rfam family: 5.8S ribosomal RNA (bases 166-319)
Source: RNAcentral
GCUCGGCCCGAUCCUCCCACCCUUUGUGUACCUACCUCUGUUGCUUUGGCGGGCCGCGGUCCUCCGCGGCCGCCCCCCUCCCCGGGGGGGUGGCCAGCGCCCGCCAGAGGACCAUCAAACUCCAGUCAGUAAACGAUGCAGUCUGAAAAACAUUUAAUAAACUAAAACUUUCAACAACGGAUCUCUUGGUUCUGGCAUCGAUGAAGAACGCAGCGAAAUGCGAUAAGUAAUGUGAAUUGCAGAAUUCAGUGAAUCAUCGAAUCUUUGAACGCACAUUGCGCCCUUUGGUAUUCCGAAGGGCAUGCCUGUUCGAGCGUCAUUACAACCCUCAAGCUCUGCUUGGUAUUGGGCACCGUCCUUUGCGGGCGCGCCUCAAAGACCUCGGCGGUGGCGUCUUGCCUCAAGCGUAGUAGAACAUACAUCUCGCUUCGGAGCGCAGGGCGUCGCCCGCCGGACGAACCUUCUGAACUUUUCUCAAGGUUGACCUCGGAUCAGGUAGGGAUACCCGCUGAACUUAAGCAUAUCAAUAAGCGGAGGAA